GACGAACGCUGGCGGCGCGCUUAACACAUGCAAGUCGAACGGAAAGGCCUGCUUUCCCUUGUGGAUUGCGGGUACUCGAGUGGCGAACGGGUGAGUAACACGUGAGUGAUCUGCCCCCAACUUGGGUAUAAGCCUGGGAAACUGGGUCUAAUUCCCGAUAGGACUGCAGGGUGGUGCCUGUGGUGGAAAACGAUUUUCUAGUGGUUGGGGAUGAGCUCGCGGCCUAUCAGCUUGUUGGUGGGGUAAUGGCCUACCAAGGCGGCGACGGGUAGCCGGCCUGAGAGGGUGGACGGCCACAUUGGGACUGAGAUACGGCCCAGACUCCUACGGGAGGCAGCAGUGGGGAAUAUUGCACAAUGGGCGGAAGCCUGAUGCAGCGACGCCGCGUGGGGGAUGACGGCCUUCGGGUUGUAUACUCCUUUCGACCGCGAGGAAGCCACCUGGUUGGAAGGGUGGUGACGGUAGUGGUAGAAGAAGCACCGGCUAACUACGU
RNAcentral lists this ribosomal RNA (493 nucleotides) under uncultured bacterium. RNAcentral's name for it is "partial 16S ribosomal RNA". It matches the Rfam family "Bacterial small subunit ribosomal RNA", at positions 28 to 506 of the family's 1533-position model. The record is from RNAcentral.